GAAUAAACCUGGUGGACUGUCGCUGGCUCUCUCGAGGGCAUGUGCACGUCCGUCAUCUUUAUCUUUCCACCUGUGCACAUCUUGUAGAUAUGGAGACCACUCUCUUUUUUAGUUUAAAAGGUUUGAGGAAUUGUAGGCUCUGCAAAGAGUCAGCUUUCCUUGGGGUAGCCAUGUCUAUGUCUUUCACAUACACCAAUGAAAUGUGACAGAAUGUAAAUUAAAAAGGUCUUUGUACCUAUAAUAAAACUAUACAACUUUCAGCAACGGAUCUCUUGGCUCU
RNAcentral lists this unclassified non-coding RNA (280 nucleotides) under rhizosphere metagenome. RNAcentral describes it as "partial ribosomal RNA internal transcribed spacer region". The record is from RNAcentral.